UACGUAGGUGGCAAGCGUUGUCCGGAUUUAUUGGGUUUAAAGGGUGCGUAGGCGGUUCUAUAAGUCAGGGGUGAAAUCCGGCAGCUCAACUGUCGAUGUGCCAUUGAUACUGCAGAACUUGAGUACAGAAGAGGUAGGCGGAAUUGACGGUGUAGCGGUGAAAUGCUUAGAUAUCGUCAAGAACACCGAUAGCGAAGGCAGCUUACUAGACUGUAACUGACGCUGAUGCACGAAAGUGUGGGGAUCAAACAGG
Molecule: ribosomal RNA, 253 nt
Filed under: uncultured bacterium
Lineage: Bacteria
Description: partial 16S ribosomal RNA
Rfam family: Bacterial small subunit ribosomal RNA
Source: RNAcentral